This 253-nucleotide ribosomal RNA is filed under the name uncultured bacterium. Its description in RNAcentral is "partial 16S ribosomal RNA". It matches the Rfam family "Bacterial small subunit ribosomal RNA", at positions 524 to 776 of the family's 1533-position model. The record is from RNAcentral.
UACGGAGGGUGCAAGCGUUGCUCGGAAUUACUGGGCGUAAAGCGUACGCAGGCUGUUCGUUAAGUCGGGUGUGAAAUCCCGGGGCUCAACCCCGGAAUUGCGCCCGAAACUGGCGAGCUUGAGUGCGGGAGAGGGAAGCGGAAUUCCUGGUGUAGAGGUGAAAUUCGUAGAUAUCAGGAGGAACACCGGUGGCGAAAGCGGCUUCCUGGCCCGACACUGACGCUCAUGUACGAAAGCUAGGGGAGCGAACGGG